RNAcentral lists this non-coding RNA (29 nucleotides) under Mus musculus (house mouse). Lineage: Eukaryota; Metazoa; Chordata; Mammalia; Rodentia; Muridae. The record is from RNAcentral.
UUUGUGGGUGUGAUUCCUCACUGGAGAGU